UUUAACACUAGCUUUACCUGUCAAAUUCUGCUAGGUCUUCUCUGAAAACUGUUUUUUAAAAUGAUAUUGCUUGGUAAUAGUGCAAUUUCUAUCCCUUUCCCUCCCCCUCAACUUCAAAUUCCUUUGUAAUUUUGCCACCCUUUCCCUAAUUUUUUUUUGAGCUACUAUGCCAUCCUUCCUGUGUAAGGCAGUGACUGUCAGUGUUUUGUACUGCCAUGCCUUGACUUGUGGGUGUGUUUGGCAACAAUAAGGUGGUUGGGUAGAUUGGCUAAGCAUGCUUCCACCCACCAGUAUUCCUCAGAGGGGUUAUGUGAUUGUUUCAACCUGGAGUGGGUUGCACACUUAAUGCUUUCCUCUACAACUAUACCGCCCACAUACAUGUUCAUUCAAAAAAGAAAUAGCAAUUCUCAGCACUAACCCAGAAGUAGCAAAGCAGUCAGUGAUGGUGAAAAUUAGAAGUCAGACAUGAUCCAGUCACCUGUUUAUGGGCUGACAUCCACAGUGGCUAUGCCUGUAUCAUUUACAAAGCAUGAAUUCACUACAACACUCAACUGUUUAGAUUGACCUUAUUUGGGGAAUUUACUCCUGUCUGCUGUAUAGUAGGUAGCUGAGUAGGAUAUCUCAACUUUUUAAAUUAGUUCUUAACCUCCAUUGGCACUUCUAUUUUUUGGUGGUUGUUUUGUUUUUGUUUUGUUUUUCUCAAGUAACCCUAGUUUGGUUUGGUGCUAGACACUAUUCAGUCAUAGCACCAGACUGACCCGCAGAAUUGGGGUUAUUUCAUCUGUCCUUUCAAAAAAAGGAAAACACAUACACAAAAGUUUAAUACAUCUAGAAAGUUUUUUUUUUUAAUUAAAAGCUAUUUAAAGAGAUGAAUGUGGCCAAAGUUUUACACAAUUGAAAAUAAAGUAAGACAGAUGGCAUGUGUUUAAACCUGAGUUUAUCAGGCAUGGCAGGAAGUUGCAAGAGAGUGAGGCAAUGACCCAAGCCAGUGCACUUGAUGUUCAUGGACAUAUAUUUUUUUUAAAUAAUAAAUUAAAUUAAUACAUUUUAAAUAGAAGCAUAAAUUGAGUUGGUUGGUUGUUGGCGCUGAGAUACUGCCCACUGUGAAACAAAGCUUUGACUAGUUUUUUGUUUGUUUACUUUCUUCAGGGGGGAGGGGGGGACAAGUUUGGGUAGGAAAGAAAGCAUAAAUGAACGUGACCCUGAGGUGAAGAGGUAUAUGAACAGCCUUUGCAAUGUAUAAAAAACAAAAAAACACACAAAAAAACCCACAAAAAACAAAAAAAUAGAGCAAGUGAAACCAAAAAUGAUGUUCUUGGUGUUUUUCUAUAAUGUAGUCUUGUUAGCUUUUUUGUUACUGUAACAAUGCUGAUCUCGAACUGUACCAAAAUACAUGGAGAGUAACAAACAGAACCACAUGGAACUUUCAAACUGAAAAAAGAAAUUUGUCACAAAAACUUUGUUGUCAUAGUUAAGUUGAUUGUAGAUGGUAAUUGAAUAUACUCCUUUGAAAUAUUUCAUCAAGUAUGUUUCCUGCUCAUUGUGAUACAUUAAAAAAAUAUGAG
Molecule: long non-coding RNA, 1565 nt
Filed under: Heterocephalus glaber (naked mole-rat)
Lineage: Eukaryota; Metazoa; Chordata; Mammalia; Rodentia; Bathyergidae
Description: lncRNA (ENSHGLG00100040768.1)
Source: RNAcentral